This 577-nucleotide ribosomal RNA is filed under the name uncultured Bifidobacterium sp. RNAcentral describes it as "bacterial SSU rRNA". It matches the Rfam family "Bacterial small subunit ribosomal RNA", at positions 134 to 721 of the family's 1533-position model. The record is from RNAcentral. Lineage: Bacteria; Bacillati; Actinomycetota; Actinomycetes; Bifidobacteriales; Bifidobacteriaceae.
GAAUUCGAUUCUCCUGGAAACGGGUGGUAAUGCCGGAUGCUCCGGCCCAUCGCAUGGUGGGCCGGGAAAGAUUUCAUCGGUAUGGGAUGGGGUCGCGUCCUAUCAGGUAGUCGGCGGGGUGACGGCCCACCGAGCCUACGACGGGUAGCCGGCCUGAGAGGGCGACCGGCCACAUUGGGACUGAGAUACGGCCCAGACUCCUACGGGAGGCAGCAGUGGGGAAUAUUGCACAAUGGGCGCAAGCCUGAUGCAGCGACGCCGCGUGCGGGAUGGAGGCCUUCGGGUUGUAAACCGCUUUUGAUCGGGAGCAAGCCGGCUUGUCCGGUGAGUGUACCCUUCGAAUAAGCACCGGCUAACUACGUGCCAGCAGCCGCGGUAAUACGUAGGGUGCAAGCGUUAUCCGGAAUUAUUGGGCGUAAAGGGCUCGUAGGCGGUUCGUCGCGUCCGGUGUGAAAGCCCAUCGCUUAACGGUGGGUCUGCGCCGGGUACGGGCGGGCUGGAGUGCGGUAGGGGAGACUGGAAUUCCCGGUGUAACGGUGGAAUGUGUAGAUAUCGGGAAGAACACCAAUCACUAGUG